RNAcentral lists this ribosomal RNA (2803 nucleotides) under Triticum aestivum (bread wheat). RNAcentral describes it as "partial small subunit ribosomal RNA". The record is from RNAcentral. Lineage: Eukaryota; Viridiplantae; Streptophyta; Magnoliopsida; Poales; Poaceae.
CUGUGUAGAGGUUAGAGGUGGGAGCGGCAACUUGGUGCUGUGGGCUGGAGUUGUGUCGUUUGGGAGCCGCUGGAAGGAGUACGGAGGUCGGUUUCGGUUCUUUGAGGCCGCCCGGCGCCGACGCCGGCGGGGGGGUCUCUCGAGGGGCCGCGGGGGAGGCCGACGCCGCCUCUGUGGAGGGCGCCGGCGGUGGGGUCUCUCUAGGGGCCGCGGGGGAGGCCGACACGGCCUCUGGUGAGGGCGACGGCGGGGCGGUCUCUGGAGAGGCCGCGCGCGAGGCCAACACCGCCGCUGGGGAGGGCUCAGCAGCCUCCGAUCACAAUGCCAACGCCUCCUACCACCGCCCUUCCUGUUCUACCGCCACCUCCUAGAGCCACUCCACCUCGCACUCCUCCGGUGGCCCCGCCUCAGGCAUCUCCUCCUCGGGCUCCUCCUCCUCGGCCUCCUCCACCUCCUCAGCCUCCUCCACCUCCNNNNNNNNNNNNNNNNNCUCCUCCUCCUCCUCCUCCUCCUGGGACUACCCCUCCUACUAGGGCUCCUUCGCCUCCUCCUACGACUCCUGCACCUCCUCCUAGGACUCCUGGGUCUCCUCCUUCGGCUGCGUCAGCUCCUACUACUCCUCCUAUGCCACGACCGCCGACCCAGCCUCUUCUGCCACUGACACCUCCCGCCACGACUCCUCCUUCGCUACCACUGGUAUAGGUUCCUCCCGCCGCCACUUCAAUGCCCCAAUCUCAGACGGCACCAUCUCCUCGGGCUCCUCCGACGAUUACACCUACUCCCUGUUCUUCUCCGUCUUCUCCUCCUUCGACUUCUCCUACGUUACCUUCUCCUACGAUGUCUCCAGGGCCCUCUACCGCGGUGGGGUCUACUGUACUUACUUGAUAGACUUCUUCUUGUACUUCUUAGACCCGUACUUCCAUGUGUACCCUUAUUGUUGCUCCCACCACAACGGACGGUCAACUCACAGGUAAGACUCCGCGUCUUACCAGUUGAACUGAGGAGUAACGGAUGUGAUCCAAGUCAAAGUCACCCGUUAUGAUUUCUGAACGUUCAUAAAGAAGUACCUAACGGAUUCCUAACACGACUCUUUCUGUAAUGUCUCCAGAAAAGAGUUAAGCCUCUCUAACUUAGAUAAUUUUGUUAAUCUUUUUUCUUGUCGUAACGUAAGCAAGCAAUAUACUCGUGACUUCGACGUUUCUUCCGAGAACGGCUUAAAUUCCUCCCUCGACUCCACUGUCCCCCUUCCCAAUUUCAUAGUCGAAGAUCUCCACUAUUAUGGGAAAUGGAAUCGUUGUAGACGUUUUCGACCUGUUUUCUCGUCCACGCUUGAAGGAACUCUUCAUAGCCUUAGCUACCUAAACUAUACUCAAAUGGGCAACUAGGACUUUGACCUCCUGUUUUGGCUCCCUAAUGAAAAGAGUUUAAACGAAGCGGACUGUUGCGGUUUCGACGUAGAGUCGACGAUGUCGUUGGUCUACGUAACUAAUGGUAACAAUUUUCACACUUCCUUAGACGAGUUUAGGGAUGUCUUAGUUCGGACCUCGAACGAUACGACGUCCAAUUUUGUCAUAUGGAGCUUGUACAAGGAGAAAGAACCCUAUUCCCGUUUCAAUUUCUUACAACGUUUCGUAUACCCCACUAAGUCCUACAAGUGUAAAAUUUCUUCAGUUUUUGCUUUUGAAGAAAACAACUUAAGAGUAGGUCCUUCUCACGUAAUCGAACACACCUUCCUUAUUUGUCACGGUUAUAACCACCACUUCAAUUCGACCGACGUUCAGAACGAGCUGGUGCAGCCCUUUGUGUUGACCUGUUCUUCUCACGAUUUCCACCCCAGUUCCAGUUAUCACUACGUUGAAGGUUUCUGUGGUUGUUAAGAUAAUUCUUUUUCUUGGUCUUAUCCCUCCAGUCUCACUUCUUCCUAAGUGGUGUAUUUAACGCUUUUCCACUACACUCGUUCGACUGGAGUGUACAACUACGCUUUCAUGGUGUUAGUAGGUUGGGUAGAUUUCCGUUUGCCUUUCGACCUUUCUGACUUUUAUGGCGACAUUUACUUUCCCGUGGCUUCUCUCGUGCCUUCUUAGCACCACAAGACUGUUUUGGAAGGUUGUCUUGUAGAGUACCACCAGUACGAUCUCAAGGGAUACGUCCUCUUAGAAGACCUUUGUAAUUCGCGGGACACCCUGGAGUUAUACAUUGACCGUUGGUUAGAAUGGGGUAACGCCCGCGUAGAAGGUCUAGAUUUGGUUUACGAGCACUGGACCUUGGAGUACGACCUAUGUAGGGAGGAUGUUUAGCACAAGCACGUGGACGUUUAGUACAAGGUCAGUGGAUACAAAUACUAGUAGGCUCUUCGCGUGGUAGGUGAUAGGUAGUGUAACUGCCAGAAGGAAUACGAUCUCUUUAUCGUCGAGGUGGUGGUCGGAUACCCAUGUGUUCGUUAGGAGUUAUGGUCCUACCUAUACGUAUGCGGAUGGUGGGGGGCGGAGUAGGUUCACCUAGAAUGGUGAUGGGUCCUUGGCCGCGUAUAUCGGGAGCUUCCUCUAUGAUGACUGAUUUUAGGAUCACGGUUCAGUUACGAAAGUAGAGUACAUUAUGAUGUUUAUGUCUUGCAAACGUCAAAAGUCCCUGGGAGUACAACAAAACGAUCUACCGACUGCGACCUUUCUUCAUUUCAAGUCAAAACAGCCGCGAAUCUAGAAGCCAAAUAUAAACUUACUUUCACGUAGUAAUCCUCUUACCGUAAAACCUAGAGCCGGAGGUACCUCCGACCUAAAAACUUUUUAAGUUUUAAUUUUUUUUU